This 789-nucleotide ribosomal RNA is filed under the name uncultured bacterium. Its description in RNAcentral is "bacterial SSU rRNA". It matches the Rfam family "Bacterial small subunit ribosomal RNA", at positions 8 to 796 of the family's 1533-position model. The record is from RNAcentral.
AGAGUUUGAUCCUGGCUCAGGACGAACGCUGGCGGCGUGCUUAACACAUGCAAGUCAAGGGGGCCCGCAAGGGCAACCGGCGAACGGGUGCGUAACACGUGAGCAACCUGCCGAAUGCGUGGGGGGAUAGCCGGCCCAACGGCCGGGUAAUACCGCAUACGUUCCCCCUGGGGGAGUCCCUGGGGGAGGAAAGCUGUGGCGUAAGCCAUGGCGCGCGUCGAGGGGCUCGCGGCUUAUCAGCUAGUUGGCGGGGUAACGGCCCACCAAGGCGACGACGAGUAGCUGGUCUGAGAGGAUGGCCAGCCACAUUGGGACUGAGAGACGGCCCAGACUCCUACGGGAGGCAGCAGUGGGGAAUCUUGCGCAAUGGCCGAAAGGCUGACGCAGCGACGCCGCGUGGGGGAUGACGCAUUUCGGUGUGUAAACCCCUGUUGCCCGGGACGAACACCUCCUUUUGGGGAGGCUGACGGUACCGGGUGAGGAAGCACCGGCUAACUCCGUGCCAGCAGCCGCGGUAAUACGGAGGGUGCGAGCGUUGUCCGGAAUCACUGGGCGUAAAGGGCGCGUAGGUGGCUACUUAAGCGUGUGGUGAAAGUCCGGGGCUCAACCCCGGAUCGGCCGUGCGAACUGAGUGGCUCGAGCACUGUAGAGGCAGGUGGAAUUCCGGGUAGCGGUGGAAUGCGUAGAGAUCCGGAAGAACACCGGUGGCGAAGGCGGCCUGCUGGGCAGUGGCUGACACUGAGGCGCGACAGCGUGGGGAGCAAACAGGAUUAGAUACCCUAGUAGUCC